ACACGACUCUCAACAACGGAUCUCUUGGUUCUGGCAUCGAUGAAGAACGUAGCGAAAUGCGAUAAGUGGUGUGAAUUGCAGAAUCCCGCGAACCAUCGAGUCUUUGAACGCAAGUUGCGCCCGAGGCCCUCGGGACGAGGGCACACCUGCCUGGGCGUCACGC
Molecule: ribosomal RNA, 163 nt
Filed under: Phyllostachys sulphurea
Lineage: Eukaryota; Viridiplantae; Streptophyta; Magnoliopsida; Poales; Poaceae
Description: 5.8S ribosomal RNA
Rfam family: 5.8S ribosomal RNA
About the family: 5.8S ribosomal RNA (5.8S rRNA) is a component of the large subunit of the eukaryotic ribosome.
Source: RNAcentral